This 492-nucleotide ribosomal RNA is filed under the name uncultured bacterium. RNAcentral describes it as "partial 16S ribosomal RNA". It matches the Rfam family "Bacterial small subunit ribosomal RNA", at positions 29 to 507 of the family's 1533-position model. The record is from RNAcentral.
AGUGAACGCUGGCGGUAGGCCUAACACAUGCAAGUCGAACGGCAGCACAGUAAUAGCUUGCUCUUACGGGUGGCGAGUGGCGGACGGGUGAGGAAUACAUCGGAAUCUACUUUUGCGUGGGGGAUAACGUAGGGAAACUUACGCUAAUACCGCAUACGACCUACGGGUGAAAGCAGGGGAUCUUCGGACCUUGCGCGAUUGAAUGAGCCGAUGUCGGAUUAGCUAGUUGGCGGGGUAAAGGCCCACCAAGGCGACGAUCCGUAGCUGGUCUGAGAGGAUGAUCAGCCACACUGGAACUGAGACACGGUCCAGACUCCUACGGGAGGCAGCAGUGGGGAAUAUUGGACAAUGGGCGCAAGCCUGAUCCAGCCAUACCGCGUGGGUGAAGAAGGCCUUCGGGUUGUAAAGCCCUUUUGUUGGGAAAGAAAAGCAGCAGGUUAAUACCCCGCUGUUCUGACGGUACCCAAAGAAUAAGCACCGGCUAACUUCGUG